Molecule: RNA transcript, 5480 nt
Organism: Orcinus orca (killer whale)
Lineage: Eukaryota; Metazoa; Chordata; Mammalia; Artiodactyla; Delphinidae
Gene name: UPF0547 protein C16orf87-like
Exons: 4
Source: RefSeq, a predicted model, not a curated record
UCGUCUGGCCCAGAGAGGGCGCGUCCGUCGUCCCGCCGGACGAUCCAGUCGGUCUCCUCUCGUGAGAAUCGGUACGCCCUAGAGGACCGGAGCAGCGUGGGGGGGGGCGUGUUCCGCGGUCCCUCGGAGCCCGCGCACGCCGCGCCCCGCCCCCUCAGCACGCAGGCUCCGCGCGAGCUCACGCACGCGCGCGCGCGCGCUCUUCAGAGCCUCACUCUGGCCAGCGGGGACCGACGGGCGGAGGCUGGGCUGCUGAAGUACGAGGGGCGGAGCCAGGGCCGCCGCCGCCGCCGCCGCCGCCGCCGCCGCCGCCGCCGCCGCCGCCGCCGCCGCCGCCGCCGCCGCCGCCGCCGCCGCCGCCGCCGCCGCCGCCGCCGCCGCCGCCGCCGCCGCCGCCGCCGCCGCCGCCGCCGCCGCGCAUGUCUGCAACUGGAGCCAAGAAAGUGAAGAUGGCCACCAAAUCAUGCCCCGAGUGCGACCAACAGGGGACGAGGGUUCGAUCCCUGGUCGGGGAACUAAGAUCCCUCAUGCCGCGGGGCAACUAAUCCUGCAUGCCACAACUGUUGAGCUCUGGCGCCUCAACGAGAGAGCCCGCAUGUCACAAUUAGAGAGAAGCCCGCGUGCCGCAACUAGAGAGAAACACGAGGAGACUGCGCGCCAUAAUGGAAAGAUCCUGCAUGCCUCAACAAAGAUCCCAUGUGCUGCAACUAAGACCCAACGCAGCCAAAAAAAAAAAAGAAAAAAAAGGAAAAUAAAUAAAAUAAAUAUUUUUUAAAAAAUGGGAACUCAGCUAUGACAGUAAACAAUGCAUGUGAUCAGCACAGCAUCAGAACAGCAUCAAAUGACAGCCGAGGUGUAAAGAAAAAAAACUAUGCAUGUGGUUGCAAGAGCCACCAUGGCUUAGAAAUUUCAUGUUUCUUAGCCCAUGAGCUACGCUUCCAAGGUUUUGCAGAGAAUGGCAGGAUUAUACUGUACUUAGGGAGCCCAAAGCUGUGGCUUCUCACCAGGUGCCUUCCAGUCCAGAUGCCAACGAAGGGUCAUUUUUACCCUAGGCAAUAUUGCCUAGUAAUGUAAUAGAGCCGGCAGUGCAGAGCUCUUAGCACUCCGCCCUUGCUACCCGCUGUUACUCCCCCCACCCCGUUACCUGGCAACGUUACCGGGAGACCAUUAAUGCUGUAUGGUUAGAGCAGCGUUAGAGGUCCUGCUCAGCCAUUGGUCGGUGCUACAGUGGGCCCCACUCAGCCAUUGGUCUGCGUCGCAGUGGGCCCCUCCCCCAAACGAGCAACUGCCAAUGAGCUCCUUGUUGGCCCAUUCAGCCAACAGUCAGCAGUGCCGUGGUCGUCAGGCGGAGAGUGAGGUACCUGUUGCAUGUAAAUCUUGUCCCUGUGGUUAUGUAUUUAUUAAUAGGAAACUUCUAAAAAUAAAACACUCAGAGAAAUCAUCAACUUUUACAGAAGUGAACAAUACCAUGUCUUUGAAAGAUUUACGAAUUUUUUUUUAUAUGAAUUUAAACUAGGAUGUAGUGCAGCCACGGCAAGUAGAAACAUCAAUUCUGUCUUUGGAGAAGGCUCUGUUAGUGAAAGGACUAUCCGAUGGUGGUUUGAAAAAUUUCAUUCUGGGGAUCUGAGUCUGAAAAAUGAGCCUCGAGGGAGACCCAAAUCUGUUUUAAAUGAAGAUCAGUUGAGAGCCAUGGUAGAAGCUAACCCCAAAACAGCAAUUCGAGGUCUUGCAGCAGACUUAGGAGUUUCUGCUACAACAGUUUCUCGACACCUGGCUGCAAUAGGAAAGGUGAAAAAAUUGGACAAGUGGGUAGGUACCACACCAGUUAAUGGACGAUCAUAAACUCAGAUGGUUAGAGAUAUGCUCAUCUCUUUACAUUUGAAAGAACAGAGACAUAUUUUGGAGAGGAUCAUAAGCUCUGAUAAAAAAUGAAAUUGAAAGUGGUUGGGACAAUGGUUGGAUUUUGAUGAAGUUCCCGAACAUGUGUUCAAUCACUGCAACCAAAAAAGGUUCUGGUAAUGGUAUGGUGGUCUACAAAGAGUGUUUCAUUACCGCUUUUUUAACCCAGGUAUAACUAACAGUAGCAUCUUCACUGUCAAAAAGUUGAAAUUAUAUAUCAAAAAAGGUGAUCUAAAAGCACUCUGUAUUGGUUAGCAGACAUGGACCUAUACUGUUGCACGACAACAUUUGACCACAGAAAUCACAAACCAUCAUAGAGAAGUUAACUGAACUGAACUAAGAAAAUAUCCCACAUUCAUCAUAUUCACCUGACUUUUUUUCAACCAAUUACCACCUUUUCUGUCAUUUGGAACUCUUUUCUGAGAAACAAAACUUUCUCCAAUUGAGAAGCAGUAAUUGGAGGAUUUGAAUAAACAUUAACAAUGCUAAAUUUUAUAAAUAUGGUACAUACCAUUUAAUAUUUGGGGAAUGCAGUUAAUGCUAACAGUGCAUACUUUGGUUGAAUAAAGCUUUUGUUUUUCUCCAAAAUAUUUAACAUUUUAAUUUGACCCAUAAAAAUGCAAUUUCAUGUGGUUCAACUUGAUACCUUCCCAGACCCUGGCAGAAUGUGAAGACUGAAAGGUACCUAAGGUAUGGAAAACUACAAGCUGCCCAUGAGUUUUGGGCUUCUUCACUGGAGGAAUGUGGAGCAACCCAGUGUAUUUGUGUGUGAAAGAUGCUUAGGAGUCAGCCAUGCAAAGGUCUGGGUAAAGUGGGUUCCAGGGAGAUGAGCUGCCUCAUUAGAGGCUCUGGGGCUCUCAGAAAAAAAAAAAUUUUUUUUAAUUAAUUAAUUUAUUUUUGGCUGCUCUGGGUCUUCAUUGCUGCAUGUGGGCUUUAUCUAGUUGGGGCGAGUGGAGGCUACUCUUCAUUGCAGUGGACAGGCUUCUCAUUGUGGUGGCUUCUCUUGUUGUGGAGCAUGGGCUCUAGGUGUGCAGGUUUCAGUAGUUGUGGCUCGCGGGCUCUAGAGCGCAGGCUCAACAGGCUCACUUGUGGCGCACGGGCUUAGUUGCUCCGCGGCAUGUGGGAUCUUCACAGACCAGGGCUUGAACCCGUGUCCCCUGAAUUGGCAGGCGGAUUCUUAACCACUGCGCCACCAGGUAAGUCCUCUCAGAAAAUAUUUUUUGACUAAAGAAAUGAAAGUAUGUUUCUAACACUAGAAGGCAUGCACACAUGGCUCAGUGAUGCUUUUGGGUGUUAAUACUUACUCUGUCACACAGAGCCAGUCAUUUCUUUCAUAUGUUUUCCAUUCUGAUUUUAUAUUUUUUAUAAAUGUAGGUGGCCUGUCAGAGACCAUAAUUAAUGGCCUCUUUAUGAUUUUUUAACUAGAUUGCAGUUAUUCUUUGUGGCAUUUAGGGAUUAAGUUGGGAUAAAGAUACCAGGAUGGUCCUCUUCCUGCCUCUUUCGCUCAUGACAACAUGCUAUGUCUAAUCCAUGAAGGAGAGGAGAGUUAAGAAAUCUUGAAAGGUUAAGAGGUGAGAGGACAUCCUGGAAUGGAUCUUACCUGGAGGGAGAGAGAGACACAGAAAGGGAGGGAAGAAGGGAAAUGGAGGGAGAGAUGGAAUAGAAAUUCCCUAAAGUAGAAUUGACUAUGAGCCCAAGGAUUAAGGACCAUGGAAUGGAUUACUGCAAAAAAGAAAAAAAAAAAAUUGUCCUUUCCUUUGUGUAGAUGCAACCCUGCACUAUGACACAUGGCUUGGUGAGCAGAGCAUAGGGUGCUUUCAGUCCUAAUUUAUUCCCUGGCUGGAUGCCCUGGUUGGGAGUCACGUGUUCAUUUACUACUCCAUCUUUGGGUUUAUCAAGGAAUCUACAGAGUUUCUCUGGACUCUUGCUUACUCCCAGGAGAGUGAAGCUUCUGAUUAGUUCAGACUGAUAGGGUAAGAGGACUAAGACCGGAAGUGUGGGAAGGACUUUAUUUCAAAGACAGCACAAGGGUGAGGCUAAAUAGUAACAGGGUGAGAGGCAGUGUCUUGGCCAAUGGGAGAGAAAGUGGUGUUUCUGGAUGGUAGUUGUUCUAUGACCCAUCUGUCCUUCCCUCAAUUCUCAGACCCCUUGUCAGACUUCCAGAGCUGGAUGCUGAAUUUUGGUCUAAAACAAUCAGUGGAUAUCCUUGUCCAGCCCAAAUCAGUGUUUCCGGGAUGGGUAGGAAACCCAAAUAGGAGCAGUGAACAUGAUGAGACAGGAAAAGGAGCAAAUAUAGGAUGGUGAGCUAUCUUAGCCAUCUUCCCUACCAUCUCCAACAAGGGGUGUAGACCCAAGAGACAGAAAUGGGCCCUGUGGUUCUUGUGAGGACGUGGAUCCAGUUGUGCCUGAAACUGGUACUACUUAUCAGUGUUUUUUGGUUAUGUGAGCCAGUAACCUUUUUUGCUUAAGCCAUUUUGAGUUGGGUUUCUAUUUGGGAAAAAAAAAAUUCCUGACUGAUAAUGCUCCCUGAGCCUUACAUUAUUUAAUUGUAACCUUUGCAGGGCUUGGGCAGGAAGAGGGACAAUUAAUGUAAAGGACAGGCACAGAGUAGAUGCCCAAUAAGUAGUAUUUAAUACUAUGAGAGAAAAAGCAAAAGGAGGCAAAGCGAGGCGUAGGACACUUCUGGAGGCCCCUCUGUGUUCAGGGCAGGCCAGUGGGCUGAGUUCAGUGCUCAGCGAAGGCUGGUACCUGUCUCGUACUGUCCAGAGGUACCCAGCUGUAAAGGAGGGCUGGCUUCUUAAGUUGAGCCUGUGGCUUUCCUGCAAUGAGUGUUCCCUGACCCAGUGUGUUACUGGCCUCACAGGAAGGAAAGAAAAGCUCUCUUUCAGGACAAAGAUGGCAUCUUCUUUGUUAUUUGUAUCUUUUUUUUUUUUAAGUCAUAGACCGUUCCAUUUUGGAAAUAUGGAGUAUAAUGUGAACAGAAUCAACACAAAAUGACUACAUUUUCCUCAUUGUGAUGAUCAUCUCUCUGUUGCUUUGGAAAAAUAGGAACUACAGCUUUAAACUUCUAACGCUUUAAUUUAGGAGCUAUAUUGGGUUUUCAAGAAAAAUAAGAAAUUUUAUACACACCAAGACCUCCCAAGCAUCCCAGUGCUCUUGUUAUCCUUUCCCAGAAAAGAAAGAAAAGCUUUAAAAGGUUCCUUGGUAGAAACUUUGGUUUGUUUUAGUGUCAAAAUAAAGGAGUUGAGAUGGAGGCUGUUACAUCUCACCUCCCCUUACCCCCCAAGAACUUGGGUUGUAAUUACAAAAGGGGAUAAAAAAUGGCUUUGAGAGAAUUCCCCGGUGGUCCAGUGGUUAAGACUCUGCACUUUCACUGACAAGGGUUUUGGUUCGAUCCCUCAUUGGGGAACUAAGAUCCCACAAGGCGAGCGGCGCGGCCACAAAAAAAGAAGAAAAAGAAAAAGGCUUUGAAUGGCCAUUUUGGUUUCUCAAGUACAUAAUACCUAUAUUAAAAUAGUUCCUGGGGACUUCCCCAGUGGCGCAGCGGUUAAGAAUCUGCCUGCCAAUGCAGGGGACACAGG